AGGGUUUGUGAAGAGCUGUGCUCUCCUUCUAGAGCCUCCAAGCAAGCUCUUGGGGCCCAUCUGUGGGACAACGUAGUGUAGCCAAGC
RNAcentral lists this small RNA (87 nucleotides) under Peromyscus maniculatus bairdii (prairie deer mouse). RNAcentral describes it as "7SK RNA (ENSPEMG00000007424.2)". It matches the Rfam family "7SK RNA", at positions 187 to 273 of the family's 331-position model. From Rfam's summary of the family: 7SK was discovered as an abundant small nuclear RNA in the mid-70s but a possible function has only recently been suggested. Two independent studies have found that 7SK RNA binds the CDK9/cyclin T complex (known as elongation factor P-TEFb). The record is from RNAcentral. Lineage: Eukaryota; Metazoa; Chordata; Mammalia; Rodentia; Cricetidae.